Molecule: transfer RNA, 73 nt
Filed under: Bacteroidales bacterium
Lineage: Bacteria; Pseudomonadati; Bacteroidota; Bacteroidia; Bacteroidales
Description: tRNA-Arg
Rfam family: tRNA
About the family: Transfer RNA (tRNA) molecules are approximately 80 nucleotides in length. Their secondary structure includes four short double-helical elements and three loops (D, anti-codon, and T loops).
Source: RNAcentral
GGUCCCGUAGUUCAAUGGAUAGAAUAUCAGAUUUCGGCUCUGAGGGUUAGAGGUUCGAGUCCUCUCGGGAUCA